UAGGGAAUCUUCCGCAAUGGACGCAAGUCUGACGGAGCAACGCCGCGGGAGUGAAGAAGGAUCUCGGUUCGUAAAACUCUGUUGUUAGAGAAGAACAGCGCAUAGAGUAACUGUUAUGCGUGUGACGGUAUCUAACCAGAAAGCCACGGCUAACUACGUGCCAGCAGCCGCGGUAAUACGGAGGUGGCAAGCGUUGUCCGGAUUUAUUGGGCGUAAAGCGAGCGCAGGCGGUCAAUUAAGUCUGAUGUGAAAGCCCCCGGCUCAACCGGGGAGGGUCAUUGGAAACUGGUUGACUGGAGUGCAGAAAAGGAGAGUGGAAUUCCAUGUGUGGCGGUGAAAUGCGUAGAUAUAUGGGGGAAAACCGGUGGCGAAAGCGGCUCUCUGGUCUGUAACUGACGCUGAGGCUCGAAAGCGUGGGGAGCGAACAGG
RNAcentral lists this ribosomal RNA (429 nucleotides) under Bacteroidota bacterium. RNAcentral describes it as "Bacteroidetes bacterium partial 16S ribosomal RNA". It matches the Rfam family "Bacterial small subunit ribosomal RNA", at positions 355 to 776 of the family's 1533-position model. The record is from RNAcentral. Lineage: Bacteria; Pseudomonadati; Bacteroidota.